UGGGAUGUAGCCAAGCGGUAAGGCUUCGGAUUCUGAAUCCGACAUGCGGUGGUUCGAACCCACCCAUCCCAGCCA
RNAcentral lists this transfer RNA (75 nucleotides) under Mycoplasmataceae bacterium. RNAcentral describes it as "tRNA-Gln". It matches the Rfam family "tRNA". From Rfam's summary of the family: Transfer RNA (tRNA) molecules are approximately 80 nucleotides in length. The record is from RNAcentral. Lineage: Bacteria; Bacillati; Mycoplasmatota; Mollicutes; Mycoplasmatales; Mycoplasmataceae.